CCUACGGGAGGCAGCAGUAGGGAAUAUUGGGCAAUGGGCGAAAGCCUGACCCAGCGACGCCGCGUGAGGGAUGAAGGUCUUCGGAUUGUAAACCUCUUUUAGUAGGGAAGAAGCGAAAGUGACGGUACCUAAAGAAGAAGCACCGGCUAACUAUGUGCCAGCAGCCGCGGUAAUACAUAGGGUGCAAGCGUUGUCCGGAAUUAUUGGGCGUAAAGAGCUCGUAGGUCGUUUGUCGCGUCGAUUGUGAAAAUCUGAGGCUCAACCUCAGACCUGCAGUCGAUACGGGCAAACUAGAGUGUGGUAGGGGAGACUGGAAUUCCUGGUGUAGCGGUGGAAUGCGCAGAUAUCAGGAGGAACACCAAUGGCGAAGGCAGGUCUCUGGGCCAUAACUGACACUGAGGAGCGAAAGUGCGGGGAGCGAACAGGAUUAGAUACCCUGGUAGUCCGCACCGUAAACGGUGGGCACUAGUUGUGGGAACCUUCCACGGUUUCCGCGACGCAGCAAACGCAUUAAGUGCCCCGCCUGGGGAGUACGAUCGCAAGAUUAAAACUCAAAGGAAUUGACGG
This 567-nucleotide ribosomal RNA is filed under the name uncultured bacterium. RNAcentral's name for it is "bacterial SSU rRNA". It matches the Rfam family "Bacterial small subunit ribosomal RNA", at positions 338 to 916 of the family's 1533-position model. The record is from RNAcentral.